GUAGUUAGCCGGGGCUUCCUCCUUGGCUACCGUCACUUUCUUCGUCACCAAGGACAGAGGUUUACAAUCCGAAGACCUUCUUCCCUCACGCGGCGUUGCUGGGUCAGGCUUGCGCCCAUUGCCCAAUAUUCCCCACUGCUGCCUCCCGUAGGAGUCUGGACCGUGUCUCAGUUCCAGUGUGGCCGAUCAGCCUCUCAGCUCGGCUACCCAUCGUUGGCUAGGUGGGCCGUUACCCCGCCUACUACCUAAUGGGACGCGAACCCCUCCUUCUGCGGAUUGCUCCUUUGACCCCUGAGCCAUGCGACUCUGUGGUCUUAUGCGGUAUUAGCACUUGUUUCCAGGUGUUAUCCCCCUCAAAAGGGCAGGUUGUUCACGCGUUACUCACCCGUUCGCCACUAGCUAUAAAUCCGAAAACCUAUAGCCCGUUCGACUUGCAUGUGUUAGGCACGCCGCCAGCGUUCGUCCUGAGCCAGAUCAAACUCUGA
RNAcentral lists this ribosomal RNA (485 nucleotides) under uncultured bacterium. Its description in RNAcentral is "partial 16S ribosomal RNA". The record is from RNAcentral.